CAUAGGAAAUGAAUGGCCGAAUAUCCGUCGAAUAUCCAACUUCAAACUAACUUCACCACGGUCUUUAGCUGUCUGGUGACCAUUUUUAUCUAUGUUGCAGCUGAGGUAGCAAGGCUCUUUGCGCCGUAUAACGGCGGAGCCAGAAGAAAUAUCACGAGACGACCAGCUCAAGUCCAAGUGAGUCGAAGAAGCUAUACACACACUGUGUGUUGUUUGGCUGACCACAAGGCGGAUAAAGUCCCAAGCGUACAGCUUAAAGCGGACCUUCAUAUUUCAGGACUUGGAGAGCACAAAGUGACAUUUUCAGGUCAGUGCGAAACUAGGCAUUUACCAAAACCAAAAUAAGUUUGUACUGUCCGGCUCGUUGAAAUGAUUUGCAGUUCUACUCAGCAUUUCUUUUUAUAGUUAUAAAUAUUUCCUGUUCAUAUUUGACUCAAACUUAAUUGAUUUUCAUAGUGUGAAUAAUAGUUAUCACAGGCUUAUUUGAGUCAAUAUGAGUUAUGAUUUUUUUUUAUUUUCUCCAGGGAAUGACAGCGAUCCCAUGGUCAUAACAAACAAGUUGAUGGAAGUAUUUCCGAAGCUCCAAGAAGGGGGAGGCUUCGAAUUUUUAAAAAUUGCAGGAUCUACACGGAGUCGAAAUCUGGCAUUGCUUCAGUGUCCCAGCACUGGAUACACGCUUGCCUAUCUAAAGGAUCCAGCUUCGAUGAUUGGACAGGCUACAAUCUUCAUUCGUCCGCUUCAACAGGAUCUACCCUUCGAUUGUGAGAGCUCAAGUUCUGCCUCUGGUCCAGUCAUCCCCUGCAUCACCUGUCAGAAGGAGGUUCCCUUUUCAGAGAUGAAGCUGCACAGAUUGAGCUGCAAUGGAAUGGAAGCUUAUUGAAGAACCGUCUCAAGCUGCCAAAGUUUUCAAAGAGAAUCUGCUGAAGGAACAUGCAUCUGGGACACCACUUCGAAUGAAGAUGGAUGUAAGGGACUCUGAAGAGGACAGGGAACGGGAACUUCUCUUGUUCUAUAAACAGCAGCAAGAAUGGGCAUGUCCACUUCAUUGUACUCUUGUUGGUGAUGCUGCUGUCGGAGAGGGAGUGAUGAGGUACUUUCUGACAACGGUGAUAUCCAAACUCCAAUUUGGAUUCAGUCUAGAUCUUGGAGGAAUGGGCCGAACACUGCUGUUUGAGGGUGAACCUGACCAUCUUGUUCCAGCAGCAUCAGAGGCACUCAUUGAAAGCAAUCUCUUCCGGGUUGCAGGAAGGAUGUUGGCCCACAGCUUUCUGCAUGACGGUCCCCAUGUCACAGGAUUAAGUCCUGCUGUGAUUCAUGUACUGUUCAAUGGGGAUCCUGAAAUGGCAACUGUUGUUACAGAAGACUGUCCUGAUCUGCACAUCAGGAGUAUCAUAAAACUGGUAUGUAACAUAUAA
RNAcentral lists this long non-coding RNA (1415 nucleotides) under Gadus morhua (Atlantic cod). RNAcentral describes it as "lncRNA (ENSGMOG00000029574.1)". The record is from RNAcentral. Lineage: Eukaryota; Metazoa; Chordata; Actinopteri; Gadiformes; Gadidae.